Molecule: ribosomal RNA, 890 nt
Filed under: Brevibacterium sp. N52(2010)
Lineage: Bacteria; Bacillati; Actinomycetota; Actinomycetes; Micrococcales; Brevibacteriaceae
Description: bacterial SSU rRNA
Rfam family: Bacterial small subunit ribosomal RNA
Source: RNAcentral
GCUGAAGCCCCAGCUUGCUGGGGUGGAUGAGUGGCGAACGGGUGAGUAACACGUGAGUAACCUGCCCCUGACUUCGGGAUAAGCCCGGGAAACUGGGUCUAAUACCGGAUACGACCUGUCCUCGCAUGAGGGUGGGUGGAAAGUUUUUUCGGUUGGGGAUGGGCUCGCGGCCUAUCAGUUUGUUGGUGAGGUAAUGGCUCACCAAGACGACGACGGGUAGCCGGCCUGAGAGGGCGACCGGCCACACUGGGACUGAGACACGGCCCAGACUCCUACGGGAGGCAGCAGUGGGGAAUAUUGCACAAUGGGGGAAACCCUGAUGCAGCGACGCAGCGUGCGGGAUGACGGCCUUCGGGUUGUAAACCGCUUUCAGCAGGGAAGAAGCGAAAGUGACGGUACCUGCAGAAGAAGUACCGGCUAACUACGUGCCAGCAGCCGCGGUAAUACGUAGGGUACGAGCGUUGUCCGGAAUUAUUGGGCGUAAAGAGCUCGUAGGUGGUUGGUCACGUCUGCUGUGGAAACGCAACGCUUAACGUUGCGCGUGCAGUGGGUACGGGCUGACUAGAGUGCAGUAGGGGAGUCUGGAAUUCCUGGUGUAGCGGUGAAAUGCGCAGAUAUCAGGAGGAACACCGGUGGCGAAGGCGGGACUCUGGGCUGUAACUGACACUGAGGAGCGAAAGCAUGGGGAGCGAACAGGAUUAGAUACCCUGGUAGUCCAUGCCGUAAACGUUGGGCACUAGGUGUGGGGGACAUUCCACGUUCUCCGCGCCGUAGCUAACGCAUUAAGUGCCCCGCCUGGGGAGUACGGUCGCAAGGCUAAAACUCAAAGGAAUUGACGGGGGCCCGCACAAGCGGCGGAGCAUGCGGAUUAAUUCGAUGCAACGCGAAGA